GAUGAACGCUGGCGGCGUGCCUAAUACAUGCAAGUCGAACGCACAGCGAAAGGUGCUUGCACCUUUCAAGUGAGUGGCGAACGGGUGAGUAACACGUGGACAACCUGCCUCAAGGCUGGGGAUAACAUUUGGAAACAGAUGCUAAUACCGAAUGAAACUUAGUGUCGCAUGAUACGAAGUUAAAAGGCGCUUUGGCGUCACCUAGAGAUGGAUCCGCGGUGCAUUAGUUAGUUGGUGGGGUAAAGGCCUACCAAGACAAUGAUGCAUAGCCGAGUUGAGAGACUGAUCGGCCACAUUGGGACUGAGACACGGCCCAAACUCCUACGGGAGGCUGCAGUAGGGAAUCUUCCACAAUGGGCGAAAGCCUGAUGGAGCAACGCCGCGUGUGUGAUGAAGGCUUUCGGGUCGUAAAGCACUGUUGUAUGGGAAGAACAGCUAGAAUAGGGAAUGAUUUUAGUUUGACGGUACCAUACCAGAAAGGGACGGCUAAAUACGUGCCAGCAGCCGCGGUAAUACGUAUGUCCCGAGCGUUAUCCGGAUUUAUUGGGCGUAAAGCGAGCGCAGACGGUUGAUUAAGUCUGAUGUGAAAGCCCGGAGCUCAACUCCGGAAUGGCAUUGGAAACUGGUUAACUUGAGUGCAGUAGAGGUAAGUGGAACUCCAUGUGUAGCGGUGGAAUGCGUAGAUAUAUGGAAGAACACCAGUGGCGAAGGCGGCUUACUGGACUGUAACUGACGUUGAGGCUCGAAAGUGUGGGUAGCAAACAGGAUUAGAUACCCUGGUAGUCCACACCGUAAACGAUGAACACUAGGUGUUAGGAGGUUUCCGCCUCUUAGUGCCGAAGCUAACGCAUUAAGUGUUCCGCCUGGGGAGUACGACCGCAAGGUUGAAACUCAAAGGAAUUGACGGGGACCCGCACAAGCGGUGGAGCAUGUGGUUUAAUUCGAAGCAACGCGAAGAACCUUACCAGGUCUUGACAUCCUUUGAAGCUUUUAGAGAUAGAAGUGUUCUCUUCGGAGACAAAGUGACAGGUGGUGCAUGGUCGUCGUCAGCUCGUGUCGUGAGAUGUUGGGUUAAGUCCCGCAACGAGCGCAACCCUUAUUGUUAGUUGCCAGCAUUCAGAUGGGCACUCUAGCGAGACUGCCGGUGACAAACCGGAGGAAGGCGGGGACGACGUCAGAUCAUCAUGCCCCUUAUGACCUGGGCUACACACGUGCUACAAUGGCGUAUACAACGAGUUGCCAACCCGCGAGGGUGAGCUAAUCUCUUAAAGUACGUCUCAGUUCGGAUUGUAGUCUGCAACUCGACUACAUGAAGUCGGAAUCGCUAGUAAUCGCGGAUCAGCACGCCGCGGUGAAUACGUUCCCGGGUCUUGUACACACCGCCCGUCACACCAUGGGAGUUUGUAAUGCCCAAAGCCGGUGGCCUAACCUUUUAGGAAGGAGCCGUCUAAGGCAGGACAGAUGACUGGGGUGA
This 1474-nucleotide ribosomal RNA is filed under the name Leuconostoc pseudomesenteroides. Its description in RNAcentral is "bacterial SSU rRNA". It matches the Rfam family "Bacterial small subunit ribosomal RNA". Lineage: Bacteria; Bacillati; Bacillota; Bacilli; Lactobacillales; Lactobacillaceae. The record is from RNAcentral.